UGCGUAGGCGGAAUAUUAAGUCAGUGGUGAAAUCCUGCGGCUCAACCGUAGAACUGCCAUUGAUACUGAUAUUCUUGAAUGUAGUUGAGGUAGGCGGAAUGUGUAAUGUAGCGGUGAAAUGCUUAGAUAUUACACAGAACACCGAUUGCGAAGGCAGCUUACUAAACUAUGAUUGACGCUGAGGCACGAAAGCGUGGGUAGCGAACAGGAUUAGAUACCCUGGUAGUCC
Molecule: ribosomal RNA, 229 nt
Filed under: uncultured bacterium
Lineage: Bacteria
Description: partial 16S ribosomal RNA
Rfam family: Bacterial small subunit ribosomal RNA
Source: RNAcentral